CGGAGGGAGCUAGCGUUAUUCGGAAUUACUGGGCGUAAAGCGCACGUAGGCGGCUUUGUAAGUAAGAGGUGAAAGCCCAGAGCUCAACUCUGGAAUUGCCUUUUAGACUGCAUCGCUUGAAUCAUGGAGAGGUCAGUGGAAUUCCGAGUGUAGAGGUGAAAUUCGUAGAUAUUCGGAAGAACACCAGUGGCGAAGGCGGCUGACUGGACAUGUAUUGACGCUGAGGUGCGAAAAGCGUGGGGGAGCAAACAGGAUU
RNAcentral lists this ribosomal RNA (256 nucleotides) under uncultured bacterium. RNAcentral's name for it is "partial 16S ribosomal RNA". It matches the Rfam family "Bacterial small subunit ribosomal RNA", at positions 526 to 779 of the family's 1533-position model. The record is from RNAcentral.